Molecule: non-coding RNA, 69 nt
Organism: Potamilus streckersoni
Lineage: Eukaryota; Metazoa; Mollusca; Bivalvia; Unionida; Unionidae
Source: the annotation of a GenBank genome assembly
CGGUGGCCUAGUGGUUAGAGCAUCCACCUCGGGUGCGGAUGGUGGCGGAUUCGAACCCAGCCGUGUCGU